UACGGGGGGAGCAAGCGUUGUUCGGAAUUACUGGGCGUAAAGCGCACGUAGGCGGCUUUGUAAGUCAGGGGUGAAAGCCCGGGGCUCAACUCCGGAAUUGCCUUUAAGACUGCAUCGCUAGAACGUCGGAGAGGUGAGUGGAAUUCCGAGUGUAGAGGUGAAAUUCGUAGAUAUUCGGAAGAACACCAGUGGCGAAGGCGACUCACUGGACGACUGUUGACGCUGAGGUGCGAAAGCGUGGGGAGCAAACAGG
RNAcentral lists this ribosomal RNA (253 nucleotides) under uncultured bacterium. RNAcentral's name for it is "partial 16S ribosomal RNA". It matches the Rfam family "Bacterial small subunit ribosomal RNA", at positions 524 to 776 of the family's 1533-position model. The record is from RNAcentral.